GACGAACGCUAGCGGCGUGCUUAACACAUGCAAGUCGAACGGAGAAUUUAUUUCGGUAAAUUCUUAGUGACGAACGGGUGAGUAACGCGUGGGCAACCUGCCCUUCAGAUGGGGACAACAUCCCGAAAGGGGUGCUAAUACCGAAUACGAUCACGCUGCCGCAUGGCGGUGUGAUGAAAGAUGGCCUCUAUUUAUAAGCUAUCGCUGAAGGAUGGGCCUGGGUCUGAUUAGCUAGUUGGUGGGGUAACGGCCUACCAAGGCGAUGAUCAGUAGCCGGUCUGAGAGGAUGAACGGCCACAUUGGGACUGAGACACGGCCCAAACUCCUACGGGAGGCAGCAGUGGGGAAUAUUCCGCAAUGGACGAAAGUCUGACGGAGCAACGCCGCGUGAGUGAUGAAGGUUUUCGGACUGUAAAACUCUGUUGUUUAGGACGAAAGUGCCUGUUGCAAAUAGUUGCAGGUAUUGACGGUACUGAACGAGGAAGCCACGGCUAACUACGUGCCAGCCGCCGCAGUAA
This 518-nucleotide ribosomal RNA is filed under the name uncultured bacterium. RNAcentral's name for it is "partial 16S ribosomal RNA". It matches the Rfam family "Bacterial small subunit ribosomal RNA", at positions 28 to 523 of the family's 1533-position model. The record is from RNAcentral.